Molecule: transfer RNA, 67 nt
Filed under: Drosophila buzzatii
Lineage: Eukaryota; Metazoa; Arthropoda; Insecta; Diptera; Drosophilidae
Description: tRNA-Thr
Rfam family: tRNA
About the family: Transfer RNA (tRNA) molecules are approximately 80 nucleotides in length. Their secondary structure includes four short double-helical elements and three loops (D, anti-codon, and T loops).
Source: RNAcentral
GUUUUAAUAGUUUAAUAAAAACAUUGGUCUUGUAAAUCAAAAAUAAGAUUUUUUUUCUUUUAAAACU